Molecule: non-coding RNA, 754 nt
Organism: Myodes glareolus (Bank vole)
Lineage: Eukaryota; Metazoa; Chordata; Mammalia; Rodentia; Cricetidae
Source: RefSeq, a predicted model, not a curated record
UGAUCUUGGCUUCUUUGACUGACCAAGCUAGAAUCCUCUCUUUGAAAAUGAAACUGUUCAUUUCCUGAGAGGAAGACUCACAAAGCUAGUCCGGGGGCAAGUGGAAAGUGUGCGACAGCCAUGGCUUUUCCAGGUGUGCAGCCGCACAGAAAUCCCCCCUCCCCCAACCCCACUCGAGGAGGGAGAGAGGAGUUCUGUCAAUCUAGUUAAGACAGAGACGACAAGGCGAUUCCUGACUUAGCUUCUACUCUUUCUGGCAAUGAAACUUUCCGGAAGCCACUUAACCCUCUGCGUCUCUUUGAUAAGAUGGCGUGACCAAGAACAACGGCACCAGUCUGAGCCCCUGUGGCACUGAUGGUAACAACACACAGCCCGACUGUGGAAAUACGCUUCAGCUCACAGUUCAUCUGCUCAUUUGAUACCGUUUUCUCCAAUUCGACACUUACAAACGACGGCAAUGGGCAUAAAGCCUGUUGAUGUCUCCUGCACACGUUCGAAGACACAGGCUCAACAACACCAGGGAGAGAAGCACACAACAGGAGGCCGUGGGCUCCAGGGUGUGCUCACCACACCAGAAACUUUCGGGGAGUUGAGCAUUAGCUGCCACACUCUCUGUUUCCCAUGUGCACACAGCACAUGGUAAAGGUCCCAGGAAUGAAGGAGAUGUCUCACCACCCACUGUGGGGAGAAAUCAGAUGAAGAGGCUAGUCUAGGAUUUGGCUUCCUCUAAAACAUAAACAAUGUGUGAUGGUCU